UAAAACUUUAUUCACUUCAAAAACUCACUCAGCUGAGUAGCAUUGAGAACUUUGUCUAGAUACUCAUGUUGCAACAGAACAAAGGGUGGGGAAAAAAUGUAAUUGUAAUGUAUACAUGUAAGGAUAACUUGAUUCCCUUGCUGUACAGUGGGGAAAAAAAAAACAACUCACUCAGUAAGCGUUUGUUGAGCACAUAUUAAGGCUCUUCGUUAGGGCACAUGAAAAUGAACUGAACAAAGUCUGCUCAGUCUAGUGGAUGAGACAUCGUAUAAACACAAAUACUUACAAUCAUCUGAUAAAAAAUACAGAAUCAUGAUAUGAACGAGCUUCUGUGGAAACACAGAAGAGGAAGUCCCUGACUGCCUGGAGAAGUCAGGAGAGGUUUUUUGAACAAAGUGAUUUCCAGGCAGAAAGAAAACAAACAGCAAGGGAAUGACAGUAGGGGUGUUUCAGGAACAGUGAGUACCACACUUUAAUAAGCCUUGAGUACCCGGUGUCUGAAAGGGCGGGGCAGGAGGUGAGGUGGAAGCUGUGGGCAAGAACCAAUCGUCAAGGGUUUUCAGAGGAGUUUGGACUUUAUCCUGGAGGUCCUGGGAAACCUUGGAAAGCCAGGUGUCUUUUCCAGGGGAUCAUCAGGCAUCCUGAACCAGGAGAACAGGGCUCUCGCUGGAACUGCACCCAUCACCGCUGUGGAGCCGGGGCCUCGCUUCUCACAAAGGGCUUCCAGACCACAGAUGAGCACAGUAGACUACUCUGAGGGGUGAGUUUGACUGGGGCACUCCCCAACAGUCUUAACAAGCUCUCAGAACUGCACUCACCUACGGUCCUGUGACCCAAAACCUGGGUUCAAAAACUGGGUUCACCUCCGUGGGGGUUGAGCUAAGACACAACCUAGCCAAAGACUGGGAGAAGGAAGGAUUUGUUAUUCCUCGUAGCAAGUUAAGGAGACCACCAGGGAUCUUUCCCAAAGUAGUGUUACCCUGAGCAGCAAAAUUGGGGAAGUUUUCAGCUGAGGGUACGUGCAUAUUCAUGAAGGGGCCUGAACUGAGGAGAAUUCGGCAAAAAAUUGGGGCCGAGGUCCACAGAGUCUCAACUUUUGUUGCUUGAAGUCAGGAGAAUCAACAUCAUCCUUCUGUCUUCCACCUGGGUGGGGGCCUUGGCUCCUGCAGAACUCAGAGAUAUAUUAGUAUGUGUUUCCCUUGAGGAAGAGCCAGGACUCUGCUUUGGGGCUGCAUU
This 1236-nucleotide long non-coding RNA is filed under the name Sus scrofa (pig). RNAcentral describes it as "lncRNA (ENSSSCG00055018532.1)". The record is from RNAcentral. Lineage: Eukaryota; Metazoa; Chordata; Mammalia; Artiodactyla; Suidae.